AUUGAACGCUGGCGGCAGGCUUAACACAUGCAAGUCGAGCGGGCGAGGUUGCUUCGGUAACUGAGCUAGCGGCGGACGGGCGAGUAAUGCUUAGGAAUCUGCCUAUUAGUGGGGGACAACAUUCCGAAAGGAAUGCUAAUACCGCAUACGCCCUACGGGGGAAAGCAGGGGAUCUUCGGCCCUUGCGUUAAUCGAUGAGCCUAAGUCAGAUUAGCUAGUUGGUGGGGUAAAGGCCUACCAAGGCGACGAUCUGUAGCGGGUCUGAGAGGAUGAUCCGCCACACUGGGACUGAGACACGGCCCAGACUCCUACGGGAGGCAGCAGUGGGGAAUAUUGGACAAUGGGCGGAAGCCGGAUCCAGCCAUGCCGCGUGUGUGAAGAAGGCCUUUUGGUUGUAAAGCACUUUAAGCGUGGAGGAGGCUACUUGGAUUAAUACUCUAGGAUAGUGGACGUUACUCGCAGAAUAAGCACCGGCUAACUCUGUGCCAGCCGCCGCGGUAA
Molecule: ribosomal RNA, 501 nt
Filed under: uncultured bacterium
Lineage: Bacteria
Description: partial 16S ribosomal RNA
Rfam family: Bacterial small subunit ribosomal RNA
Source: RNAcentral